GGGUUUCCCUGCUAUGUUUUGUCACACAUCAUUGCUGGGAGAGUUCGGUGCUAUCCAAGUGACUCCCCUGGGAGAGGGCAACUGGAAAUUUAUGCCUGGUGUCUUCCUGGACUCCAACCUAUGUACCUUUUUCCUUGGAUGAUUUUAACCUGUCUCCUUUUGCUGCAAUGAACCAUAACCAUGAGUAUAACAGCUUUUCUAAUUUUUGUGAGUCCCUCAAGUGAAUCAUCAAACCUAAGGUAGUUUUGGGACCCCCAUCACAGACAGUCAAACAGGAGCAGGGCAAGAAGAGCUGCUUUGCCUGGAAGGCUAAUGAGUCUGAACUUCACCCUGGAGGUAAUCGUUAUAGUAACUCCAGGCUCUAACCUGAAGCUGACAUGAUAAGGCCAAAUGUACACCUCUAGAAGACACUUCCGACUGCAGAGGGGAAUGGAUGGGGGAGCUGAGGGAGUAGAGCUGAAGUGGGAAGACCAUGGCCUGGAAAGAGAUGGCUGAACCAGUCCAGAAUCACAAGAAAGGCAUCAGCACCUUCUGUGAAAUGGGGAGCCAUGCAGAGGAGGUACCCAGGUGGCAAGGAGUCCAUGUCAG
This 588-nucleotide non-coding RNA is filed under the name Pongo abelii (Sumatran orangutan). Lineage: Eukaryota; Metazoa; Chordata; Mammalia; Primates; Hominidae. The record is from RNAcentral.